AGAGUUUGAUCCUGGCUCAGAACGAACGCUGGCGGCGCGCCUAAUACAUGCAAGUCGAGCGAGAAGGUGUAGCAAUACACUUGUAAAGCGGCGAACGGGUGAGGAAUACAUGGGUAAUCUACCAUCGAGUGGGGAAUAACCAGCCGAAAGGUUGGCUAAUACCGCGUACGCCUCCGAGUCUUCGGGUUCGGAGGGAAAGCUGUACUGUGAGUGCAGCGCUCUUUGAUGAGCUCAUGUCCUAUCAGCUUGUUGGUAGGGUAACGGCCUACCAAGGCUUUGACGGGUAGCUGGUCUGAGAGGACGAUCAGCCACACUGGCACUGCGACACGGGCCAGACUCCUACGGGAGGCAGCAGUAAGGAAUAUUGCGCAAUGGGCGAAAGCCUGACGCAGCGACGCCGCGUGGGGGAUGAAGGUCUUCGGAUUGUAAACCCCUUUCGGGAGGGAAGAUGGAGCGAGCAAUCGUUCGGACGGUACCUCCAGAAGCAGCCACGGCCAACUUCGUGCCAGCAGCCGCGGUAAUACGAAGGUGGCAAGCGUUGUUCGGAUUCACUGGGCGUACAGGGUGUGUAGGCGGUUUGGUAAGCCUUCUGUUAAAGCUUCGGGCCCAACCCGGAAAGCGCAG
Molecule: ribosomal RNA, 624 nt
Filed under: uncultured Nitrospira sp.
Lineage: Bacteria; Pseudomonadati; Nitrospirota; Nitrospiria; Nitrospirales; Nitrospiraceae
Description: bacterial SSU rRNA
Rfam family: Bacterial small subunit ribosomal RNA
Source: RNAcentral